RNAcentral lists this unclassified non-coding RNA (560 nucleotides) under Zea mays. RNAcentral's name for it is "misc RNA Zm00001eb144070". Lineage: Eukaryota; Viridiplantae; Streptophyta; Magnoliopsida; Poales; Poaceae. The record is from RNAcentral.
CCCCUGACGAUUGCUGAUUUUCAGGUUUGGGAUGAACUUGUUACUAAGCUUGUCGAUCAGGAGCUCACUCAUGGGAGAGAUGAGGUGGUAUGGGUACUGGACAUAUCUAAAACUUUCACUACUCAGUCUUUGUAUAGGUUUAUGACUGAUGGAGGGAUUAGAAAAGAUAUAUAUAAAAAUAUUUGGAAGUCCAAGGUGCCCUUGCGGAUUAAAGUUUUUUUGUGGCAAUUAUGUAACCGGAAAAUUCAGGCAAGCGUGGUGCUUAAAAGAAAAGGUUGGAAGGGUAGUGAUCGUUGUGCUUUAUGUCAAAAGCAAGAAACUGUGGAUCAUAUAUUCUUUCAGUGCUCCUUGGCAUAUUUUGUGUGGAGUUGUUUGAGGCAGGUAUUUGGAAGGAACAAUAUUCCCAGCUCAGUGGAAGAGAUGUUCUGUUGCAGGAGUGAAGUGAAACCUAAGUGGACUUCUCUUUUUCGUUUAUUUCUGCUUGCAGGCAUGGUUUGGGCCUUAUGGCGUAAUAGAAAUAAAAUGGUGUUCGAGAGAGAGUUCCCCUGCAGCCCUUUUGU